GUAUUAUCGUGAGUUCCCUUCAACCACUUCACAUGGCACUAUUUUAGGACCUAUGUGAAGUGUUUGGGGGAACUCUCGACAUCAC
This 85-nucleotide microRNA precursor is filed under the name Oryza meridionalis. Its description in RNAcentral is "pre miRNA mir-395". It matches the Rfam family "mir-395 microRNA precursor family". From Rfam's summary of the family: mir-395 was identified in both Arabidopsis thaliana and Oryza sativa computationally and was later experimentally verified. mir-395 is thought to target mRNAs coding for ATP sulphurylases. The mature sequence is excised from the 3' arm of the hairpin. The record is from Rfam by way of RNAcentral. Lineage: Eukaryota; Viridiplantae; Streptophyta; Magnoliopsida; Poales; Poaceae.